This 711-nucleotide ribosomal RNA is filed under the name uncultured bacterium. RNAcentral's name for it is "bacterial SSU rRNA". It matches the Rfam family "Bacterial small subunit ribosomal RNA", at positions 94 to 823 of the family's 1533-position model. The record is from RNAcentral.
AGUGGCGGACGGGUGAGUAACGCGUGGGUAACCUGCCUUACACUGGGGGAUAACAGUUGGAAACGACUGCUAAUACCGCAUAAGCGCACAGUGCUGCAUGGCACAGUGUGAAAAACUCCGGUGGUGUAAGAUGGACCCGCGUCUGAUUAGCUAGUUGGUGAGGUAACGGCUCACCAAGGCGACGAUCAGUAGCCGGCUUGAGAGAGUGAUCGGCCACAUCGGGACUGAGACACGGCCCAAACUCCUACGGGAGGCAGCAGUGGGGAAUAUUGCACAAUGGGGGAAACCCCGAUGCAGCAACGCCGCGUGAGUGAAGAAGUAUUUCGGUAUGUAAAGCUCUAUCAGCAGGGAAGAUAAUGACGGUACCUGACUAAGAAGCCCCGGCUAACUACGUGCCAGCAGCCGCGGUAAUACGUAGGGGGCAAGCGUUAUCCGGAUUUACUGGGUGUAAAGGGAGCGUAGGCGGCUUGGCAAGUCUGAUGUGAAAGCCCAGGGCUCAACCCUGGGACUGCAUUGGAAACUGUCAGGCUAGAGUGCAGGAGAGGUAAGUGGAAUUCCUAGUGUAGCGGUGAAAUGCGUAGAUAUUAGGAGGAACACCAGUGGCGAAGGCGGCUUACUGGACUGUAACUGACGCUGAGGCUCGAAAGCGUGGGGAGCAAACAGGAUUAGAUACCCUGGUAGUCCACGCUGUAAACGAUGAAUACUAGGUGU